UGAUAUAAAAUACCUGACCCAAAUAUUCUUAUCAAGGAGAGAGCUUGAUAUUAAAAAUAUCCAUGGGAAAAGCAGGUAAAUUGUCAUAAGGUUGAAUGGGAACACAAUGCUGAGGCAAAAUGAAAGGAGUGGUGAUGGGGAGUAAAAAAAACUUCUCUUAUUCCAGGUGUGGAGUAAAGAGGGAGGAGAUUUGCUGUGGAGAAAUAAAGACAUCUAAAGAAGUGGUGAGAAAGAGAUACUACUAUGGGCACAGUAUAUAGUGCUCAAACCAAAGCAUGAAAGGAAAGCUGACCUCAAAGCCAGGCUGUGGACUGUUCCCCUCCAAGUUACAAAAUGAAGUAAUGGGUUUAAUUUUGCUUUGUUUUCUUUGCUUAAAUAAACAGGAGGAUCAGCAGUGGAACAUUAAAUGCCAUGUAGAAGUGGUGCUGUUGAGCCUUUGGCUGAAGUUUCAUGAUCAGAAGUGAUAUGUCAGAGACUCUGGAUGAGACCAUUCCACUCACUAAAGACAAGGUGCUGGAGAGGAACCACAUCUGUACCAAAGUUGAUAAACUAGAGACAUCCUCUGCCAGCAGCUUACCCCUAUGACCUGCCAGAACUCCACUGAACUGAAGACUUUUUUCCUGUGGACUAUGGUGAAUAUUCAGGUUUGUCUUGAAAAUACGUGUCAAAGGGUCAAGUGAGUUGUUGCUACAGAACUGUUACUGCAGGACAGGGGAUGGCAGCAGGAAACGUUGCUGGAGCUUUCAGGAAGAUUCGGAGCUCGUGCAAUAAACCUUCGGUGCAGAUCUUUGACAUGAUGUUGAGGGAAUGUUUUGAUUGAGCAGAAAUCCCAGGGCAGGGAAAGGAUUAAGGUUAAGGGUGGCUUUGGUGUGUGAGGGACUGGACAGAGAACUGGGAGUUUAGGAAAGCUGCCUGUCUGUCCCUGCUGCGAAAUCCCUGUUCAUUUUGGGGGAGAGCUGAGUGGCUGUGCCCGAGGGUGGAGGGGAGGGGCUGGAAGGAGAGGAGCACUGACAGGGGAAGCGAGGGAAGUGUCCUGUGGCACCAGGGUAGGUCUGUGUGUGAACAGGGCUUCACCAGCACAGCUGUGGCUGUGACACCCCGGCACAGAAGCACCACAGCAGCUGCCGUGCCUGUCUGGGGCUGCCCUCAGCACCCUGGGGGUGACAGGGCACAGCAGCUCCCACCUUCUGCUGCCCAGAGCUGGCAUGUGUCCAAAAACCAUGUCUGUGCCAAAAACUACUGCUCAGUCUCAGCUGCUCCACCCUGCAGAUCUCAGAGUGGAUUUAAGACAGAAAACUCACUUCACUUCUCUUCAGUUCCAGUGAAAUGGCUGAAACAAAGAAGAGUCUUAAUGGUCUUUGUGCUGCUGUGCUCCCAAAGCCCAGGCAGCCUCCUAGUUCCGAGCUCCCACUGGACACAGGGAAUGUCAGUGGCAGCUUGAGCUGCUCCUCUGUGAGCAUAGCAGGAGGGGACCAGAGAUCUGCUACAGAACUUUGUAAUGGCUGUAAAACUUGGGUAACUUCCAGCUCAUAAAGUUACAAUGGUGUGACAUUACACAUGGUGUUAAUUUACACAAAUUGGGGUUAAGGUUCUCCCAGUUUUAUUGGGCUCUUUACCUCUUCUGCUUUUUGACUUCCUCAAAAGUGUGGUUAGCCUCAAAUCUGAGGGGAAUCCGAGCCCAGCCUCAAAUCCACAUUUGAAGAGUAACUGAUUUGAAAUAGUGGAAAGUUUACGGCAAAACUUAAAAUAAACACCCUCCAUCCUUCUUGAUAUUCUGGUAAGAGACUGAUUUUGUGCAAGACCUUUAAUUUAAUCACUGUAUAAAAUGCUAUUUCCUGGAAUUUUCUGGCAAAUGAAGUGCUCCUAGAGAGUUCAUAUUUCAGUUUUAGUAUUCACUGACUACACCCAGGAGUUCAGAAUAUUUAACUACAGAGCUCACUAAUACUAAAUUUACCUUGCCAGAUAUUGAGACAAAUCUGGUGCAGGUUGAUAAAAGGAUACCAAAUUGCUUCUGCCAUUGCUUGAUAGAUAAAGGCUGCUGUACUUUGGGUUCAAGUGUUUUGCAAACACAUUUGUAAAAUCCCUUAAAGCCAAGAUGAAGGACACAGAAUAAAUUCUGAAAUGUCUCAAUCUUCAGCCAGCAGCUGCCUGCAACACAGUGGGAGGAAGGAACACAACCAAGUUUUCUUAGAAAGGACUCAGCUUUUCCAGGACUCCCUGCCUGGAGCUACUGGGAUACAGAUCAAGCCACUGACAGCUCUAAGUGGUCGUUAACAAACUCUCACCUGAUUUACUGAAGUCAUUCUCCAUGAAAUAGUUUGGAAAACCUGCUCACAAAACAAGUUGAGGUUCAAGUUUUCUUUUAAAGCAGAGAAACACAAGGAGCUCUUUUGCUGAUGUAAGUGCCAAAGUGUUUUUCCUGUAUUGUUCUUGAAACAUCUUCUACCUCUGGAGUUCAGAACUGGGAGCCGGACAGUCCAACUUCCACUCCUCUGAGGUAAAAAAGCACAACAAGAGUUGUGUCCCUUCUGUGAGGGGGGAAAGAACAGGACACAUCUAAAUCAUCUCCACCUCCAGGUACCUGUUUUCAGUCAUCACACACAGAGUUAGUCCAACAAAUCCCAGAAAUGCUCAUUGCAGUGUCAGCAGCACAUGGAGCAGAGUCUCAGCUUUGGCUCCCAGGGCCAAGUACAGUUAAACCCACCUGACUGCUCCAGAUCUCUGGGAAAUGGUUUUGCUGCUUAAAGUGUUGGAAAACACAGAAUUAUUCCCUCCUUUACAACAUCAGUGAGAACUGCACAGGUCAGUUUAGUUCUUGUAAAGUAUCAAACAGUAGGAACUGGGAUUUAUGAGUCCCACUCACUGCUCUGAUGAAGAACAGUUUUGUUGUCAUCACAACUGGACUGCCCUCAGUAAAUCCUCAGCUUGCCUUGCUCAGCUGUCUGUUCCCUGCACAUGCCCACAGUGCAGGACUGGCUUGGCCAAACCAAUCCCAUCUUUGAAUAACCUGAUUUUUAGUUUUCCUGCUAUCCAAAUUACUCUUCCUUCCAAGCCAAGCCCAGCCUGUGCUCCUCCCUGUGGGAGUGGUCAGUCUUCCAGCACCACUGCUCUGCUGUCCCUCAGGCCACAGUGCUCCAGACACAGCUCUGGGGAGGGUUUUUAGAGGUGAAAGCAAUUUCCAUUCACUGAGUACAAAGGGAUGGAAAAGGCAAGGAAUUCACAAUUUCCCUAGGAUGGAGAACAAGCAAACCACUACAGUUCUAUUUAUAACUCUGUGUUCUACAACACUGAACAGGAACAACAAAUUUCAGCCCAAGUUGGCUGUGCAGAUUUUCAAUAUCCUUGAAGGACAUCACUCUAUUCAGUAAGUACUAAACAGGCCCCAGCAGGGCUGUGGAGCACUUGGAAAAACAAAGGAGAAAAAAAAAGGAAUGAACACAGCAAGGUGAGAUUUUCUAACCAGGAAUGUAGCAGUUGCAUGUAAUAAAGCAAAUAUUUACAUUAAGCACAAUACAGCAAUUUAUUUAGAUGCUUAAAUGAAGAAUACAAAGGGAAAUAAAGAUCACAAAAUUAUACAUACUACAACAGUGUGUCAUAUAUUAGAUGGUAUAAAUGAAUACAACACCUUGUUGGUGUAAACUAAAGAUAAAACUAAAUAUCCAAACCCAGCACUUUGUCUCAGUGUGCUGCUUCAACACAAUACACUUUUAUACAGAUCUAAAAGGUGUCAAAAUUAGUAGCUGCAAACUUGUUUCUUGCAUGUGAUUUUUCUUUUUUAGCUUAAAAGAUUUCAGAAAAUGGCUCUGAAAUACGUUUGUCAUCAGUUGUCAUGUCAAGGAUAUUCAGAACAAGAAAAUUCUAUAAUACAACAGAGCCCAGAUAUAUUUUUAUGUUGCUGGCCUCUGGUUGGAGAUUGUACAAGGUUAUGUGCAAAAACUAAGUUUGUCAAAAUUCAUACUAGAGCAGUCUCAAGCUUUGCUAGGGAAACUAGAUACAGCAUUUAUUACACAGCAGGGCAACACUAAAAAAGAGAAACAGAUCUAUGAUGGGUACACAAGAACAGUUCCAUAAGCUUCACUUGAAUAGGUCUAAAAGACUGUACAAAUAUACAUUUCAACUAUUCAGAAUGAUACAUGAAAAGUCCAUUUCCCCAGAGUCUGCUAUACAGGUGCACCGGGUCGCGGCCGCGCCGCCGAGAGGGGCAUGUUGGAAAGACACAACUCAACAUGGACAAGGUGAAUAAAGGUUGGAAAUGCAGAUAAAAUAAACCUCUGCUUUUCUCUGUGUGCAUUCUGGAGCCACCAGCAUAUCCAUUUCACAUUAAGUUACUGUGCUCAUCCCAGCCGGAAUUCUCAAGCCAGAGCAGCCAAGAGCAUCCGUCCAGGCCCACUGGGCCAGCAGUGGCCACCCCAGGCCAGGCCGAGCCCUGGGAGCAGUCCCAGCUGGGUGAAGCUGCGCAGUCCCACUGCAGGGGUGUGGGGCAGUGCAGGCCGAUGCCAGGCCGUGCCCGGGCCGCUCACGCCUGCUGGCUGCUCAGCUCCACUCCGGGCAGGCUGCCGUGCAUGGGCUCGGCCACGGCGGCCGCCACGCCCGCGAAGGGCUCCCCGUCCUCGCUGUCCAUCGCGCUGCUCUGCCACUCCAUCUGCUGACUGGACAGGCUCUCCUCCAUCUCCGAUGUGUUCUUCCAUUGCGACUGGUCCUUAGACCAAAACUCUUCUACUUUUCCAUAGGAACGAUUCUUCCACUUUGACUGUUCUUCAUCACUUUCGGAUCCGCCCCCUUUGGCCUCGACAGCUGGUUUACUGCUCCCAGCAUCUUCACUUUGGGAGGAUUCAUCUGUCCACACUUCUGGUUUUACUUCUGAUGUAUUAUCUUCAAAAUCUGAGACCUGCUGGGAACCAGGCCCACUUUCAGACUGGGAAGCUCCAUCCUUCCAUUCCACAGCAUCAUCCUGAUCACCUUCGCUAUCCGAAAUGUCCCCUACCAGUUUUGUUGGUUCUUCAGCAGAAAUAAUCUCUUCAUAUUUAGAGCUUUCCUCUUGUUUUUGGUCAGAUUUCUCUGGAGACUGUAAUGCAUUUUCUUCCACGAUUUCCUUGGAUAUGCUGUCCUCGGGGUUUUCCCCUGUGCCAUCAGAUGUGGGUUUCCCACCAACGUCAGAGAUGCGCUGACCAAAGGGACUACGGCUUUCGUUGUAUUCCUCCUCUAUAUUUUCAUAACUGUCUGAGGAACUCUCAUUGUCUUUUUCUAAGUUGAUUUUUUUAUCAACAGUCUUACUGGCAUUGACUCUGGAGUUCUUUUCAUCGUGGUUUUCGAACAGCCAUUCAGCAUCAAAAUCCAUUUCGUGUUUGACUUUGUUGAGCUCUUUCAUGUUGAAGCCGAGCAGCACCCCGGGUUUGUACUUCUCACAGUCCCGGACACAUUUCUUCCUUUUGUUACUGAAGUGAGAAGCGAUAUCAGAUUUCCAGAGCCACAAACUGGCCGCCAGCUUUUCGAUCUCUCUCCUCGUGGGGUAGGGUUGCUUAUUGAAAUAUUUUGUAAGAAAUGUUUUCCUGGCUUCAUAGGAAUCAUCUUCAUGACCCUUGGGGUCCAGUGCGAGAACUACGGGUUCUUCAGGCUUCUCCUCAAAGCCAGAGGGGGAGUCCUCGUCAUCCAUUUUCCUUUUCUUCAUGAGUGGGAACUCCACGUGCUCGUAGGUGCGUUUCACCGGCGCCACGGCCGGGGACUGGCCGAGCCGGGACGUGCCCUUGUCCUGCCCGUUCUGGGUCUUGCCCACCCCUCUGCAGUGCACCAGGUGCAGCGUUAUGGUCGAGGCCGUCAUGUUACUCGUGUACACCCCGAGGCAGUGGAUGCACUUGUAGGUCAGCUUCUUCUCCACGGGGUGAACCGUCUGGAUCACCUGAUGCCUCUCCCGUAGGUGAUGUGCAAGAGCAUCAGAGAUGGGUCCUUUUAGGAUUGAAAAGCACAGAGGACACAGAGUUUUCCCCACAUCUUUUUUGUACGGCACUGCUGCUUGUGGAGAACUUUUGACGGGUACGUCAGACUUCUCCUGGAUUUUGGGCUGUGGUUUUGGCGGAAUGGGGGGAGUGUUCUGAGCAUGGUAAGCUACGGAUUCAGCGGGAGCAUCUCGCAGGUUGUAGGUGGUUACAAGGAGAUGUAUGUUCGUGUGACCGCCCUGCUGCAAUGUCAAAUCAAAGGUUAGAGUGGAAUCAGUCUUAGGUCCCAUUUCUUCGUCCACGUGAACCAUUCUCAUGUGAGCAGCCAUCUUCUCCACGUCGUUGAAGGUGGAGCGGCAGUAGGGGCAGGACAGGCCGUGGAUCAGCAUGUGGUUGAGCAGCGUGUCGGUGGGCAGGUAGCGGUUACAGUAGAGACAUUUGCUAGUGAAGUUGUGGAUCUUCAUUAUGUAGUUGGCGACCGCAGGCACCUUCUCAGCCUUGUGCUCCUUUUCAAAGUGGACACUGUACACGUUUUCAGGGAACAGCUCGUUGCAGAUUGUACAGAUUUUCCACUUCUGUGUGGAUGAUGUAUUGACAGAAGAAGGACCUGUAGCAGCCACGGGGGAUUUGGAGCCAGACUGGCCCAAAGCCCUGGUCGCUGCCUGUGACUGGGACAACGAGGUCUGUUUGAGCUGCGUCGAGGACAGCGAGGAGGAGUUGGCAGAUUGCAGCGAGUACCUUGCUGAGGCCUGGGACCUCUGCUCCCCUCCAAGGGUGUAAGGCCUUCCAUUCCCACUCGCUGAAAACUGUUUCAUGGUUUGUGAUUGCUGGGAAAGAGAAACGGGCGCGUUUCCACUGAGGCUGAGCCUCCCCCCCGGCUGCCCAACGUAACUCGGGGGCACUGAUUUGACCCCGUAAUUGUUCUGUUGUAGGUGAACAUUUGACAUCAUAUUCACUCCUGUGGAAUUUAACGUAGGCUUUGGUAUAGUGAGUCUGUUCAUCAUCUGCUGUGACGAGAGAGACCGGACACUUCCAGCGGAGAGGGCACCCAUCCUCUGGGGGAGCCCCAUAGGCUUUUUAUCCUGGGGUUUUGGAGCUAUGAGCAUCAAAGGUUUAGACCUUGGAACCACGACAUUAGUGUGACCUAUCAUUGCAGUGACCUGGUAUCCGAUCCGUUCAUGGUCUUCGAUCACGUGCUGCACUAAAGCUUCGUAGGAUUUCGGCAUGAAAAGGCAUCGUUUGCAGUGGAUCCCCCCCUCCUCUCGGGCACCGGAGCUCAAUGGAACCGCACCAUUGAGGGACUUUUCCCCUCCCUUCGCUAUGUAAGGAGCAGCAACGUGCUGAAAAUGUUCCCUGUAAAUGUGCUUUCGAACGAUCUCGUAGAGCGGGUCGCGGUAAGUGCACUUCUUACAGUAAUAAACAGCUUGUUCCACACUGUCA
Molecule: long non-coding RNA, 7373 nt
Organism: Pseudopipra pipra
Lineage: Eukaryota; Metazoa; Chordata; Aves; Passeriformes; Pipridae
Exons: 4
Source: RefSeq, a predicted model, not a curated record